AUUGAACGCUGGCGGAAUGCUUUACACAUGCAAGUCGAACGGCAGCACGGGGGCAACCCUGGUGGCGAGUGGCGAACGGGUGAGUAAUACAUCGGAACGUGCCCAGUCGUGGGGGAUAACGUAGCGAAAGCUACGCUAAUACCGCAUACGAUCUCUGGAUGAAAGCGGGGGACCGCAAGGCCUCGCGCGAUUGGAGCGGCCGAUGGCAGAUUAGGGUAGUUGGUGGGGUAAAGGCUCACCAAGCCGACGAUCUGUAGCUGGUCUGAGAGGACGACCAGCCACACUGGGACUGAGACACGGCCCAGACUCCUACGGGAGGCAGCAGUGGGGAAUUUUGGACAAUGGGCGAAAGCCUGAUCCAGCCAUUCCGCGUGCAGGAUGAAGGCCCUCGGGUUGUAAACUGCUUUUGUACGGAACGAACGGUCCUGGUUAAUACCUGGGCUAAUGACGGUACCGUAAGAAUAAGCACCGGCUAACUACGUGCCAGCAGCCGCGGUAAU
Molecule: ribosomal RNA, 500 nt
Filed under: uncultured bacterium
Lineage: Bacteria
Description: bacterial SSU rRNA
Rfam family: Bacterial small subunit ribosomal RNA
Source: RNAcentral